GGCCCAAUAGUCUAGUGGUAAGACAUAUUGUUUUCACCAAUACAUCGCGGGUUCGAGUCCCGCUUGGGCUA
RNAcentral lists this transfer RNA (71 nucleotides) under Lecanora strobilina. Its description in RNAcentral is "tRNA-Glu". It matches the Rfam family "tRNA". Rfam says of the family: Transfer RNA (tRNA) molecules are approximately 80 nucleotides in length. Their secondary structure includes four short double-helical elements and three loops (D, anti-codon, and T loops). Further hydrogen bonds mediate the characteristic L-shaped molecular structure. tRNAs have two regions of fundamental functional importance: the anti-codon, which is responsible for specific mRNA codon recognition, and the 3' end, to which the tRNAs corresponding amino acid is attached (by aminoacyl-tRNA synthetases). tRNAs cope with the degeneracy of the genetic code in two manners: having more than one tRNA (with a specific anti-codon) for a particular amino acid; and 'wobble' base-pairing, i.e. permitting non-standard base-pairing at the 3rd anti-codon position. Lineage: Eukaryota; Fungi; Ascomycota; Lecanoromycetes; Lecanorales; Lecanoraceae. The record is from RNAcentral.